Molecule: ribosomal RNA, 1271 nt
Filed under: Hapsodrilus ignifer
Lineage: Eukaryota; Metazoa; Arthropoda; Insecta; Coleoptera; Elateridae
Description: 16S ribosomal RNA
Rfam family: Archaeal large subunit ribosomal RNA (bases 584-1271)
Source: RNAcentral
GUUUACAUUAUUAUUGUUUUCUUUUCUGGAAAUAGCCUUGGUUUUAGUAUUAGGAUGAAUGAAUUUAAUUAAUUAUAGUAAAUUAGUAAAGUGAUUGAAAUUUGAAAUAUUUUUAAAAUUGUAAAAAGAAGAAUUUUAUUUUUGUACCUUGUGUAUCAGGGUUGAUUAAUUUAUCAGUUUUUAGUGACUUUUCCCGAAUUGGAAAGAGCUAACUAGUUAUUUUUUUGGUUGUAAAAUUAACCUUUAUAAUUAUUUGUUAGUAAUGAAACGUUAAUCGUUUUCCGUUAUAUCUGGUUUUUUAAGAAACGAAUUAAAUUCGUUCGUUUAUUAGUUGAGGUUUAUAUUUUAGGCUUUAAUUGUUUACGUUAAAUAUUAAAGGGGAUGAGCUCUUUAUUAUUGUUCUAUAAUUUUACUAUUUUUUUAGUAAGUAUGAUUAAUAUUGUCAUUCUUUAGAAUAAUUUUAUAGUUGACUUUUUUGUUUAUUUUAUUUAUUUAGCUUUAGAUUAUUUAUUAAAUUAUUCUAUGAAAUAAAUUUUUGGUAUAGAUAAUGAUUAAAUUAGUAAAUCUGAAUUUGUUUUGUGAUAUUUUUAUUAGGUUUGUUAAAGGAAUUCGGCAAUUUUACUUUUCGCCUGUUUAUUAAAAACAUGUCCUUUUGAAUUUUAUUUAAGGUCUAAUCUGCUCAAUGAAUGAUUAAAUUGCCGCGGUAUCUUGACCGUGCGAAGGUAGCAUAAUAAUUAGUUUCUUUAUUGGGAGCUGGAAUGAAUGAUUGGACGAGGGAGCAGCUGUCUACUAUCAAAUUUUUUUUUGAAUUUAACUUUUAAGUAAAAAGGCUUAAAUUUUUCUGAAAGACGAGAAGACCCUAUAGAGUUUAACAUUUUGGUUAGUUAAAAAUUUUUGGUAUUAGAAAUUUUGACUUAAACACUUGUUUAGUUGGGGUGACUGGAAGAUUUAACUUACUCUUCUAAUUUGUAGUUACUGAUUGGUAAAUUUUAAUUCUGAAUGUUUCAAGUUUAAUAAAAAUUACCUUAGGGAUAACAGCGUAAUUCCUUUUUAGAGUUCAAAUUGGGAGAGGAGUUUGCGACCUCGAUGUUGGAUUAAAAUAAAUAUUUGGCGCAGUAGCUUAAUUAUUGGGUCUGUUCGACCUUUAAAAUUUUACAUGAUCUGAGUUUAAACCGGUGUGAGCCAGGUUGGUUUCUAUCUUUAGUUUUAUAUGAUGCUUUAGUACGAAAGGACCGGGUAUUGGAUAAAUUAUUUUUCUUGCGAAUUCUAUU